CCUACGGGUGGCUGCAGUGGGGAAUUUUGCGCAAUGGGCGAAAGCCUGACGCAGCAACGCCGCGUGAGUGAUGAAGGCUUUCGGGUCGUAAAGCUCUGUCAAUGGGAAAGAAGUGUAUUGUAGCUAAUAUCUGCGAUACUUGACGGUACCCAUAAAGGAAGCACCGGCUAACUCCGUGCCAGCAGCCGCGGUAAUACGGGGGGUGCAAGCGUUGUUCGGGAGUGUGUGGCGUGUUGCGCGAGUAGGAUGUGAAAGCCCUGGGCUCAACCCAGGAAGUGCAGUGGAAACUGGCAGACUUGAAUACGGGAGAGGGUAGUGGAAUUCCUGGUGUAGGAGUGAAAUCCGUAGAUAUCAGGAGGAACACCGGUGGCGAAGGCGGCUGCCUGGACCGAUAUUGACGCUGAGACGCGAAAGCGUGGGUAGCAAACAGGAUUAGAUACCCUGGUAGUC
RNAcentral lists this ribosomal RNA (450 nucleotides) under uncultured bacterium. RNAcentral describes it as "partial 16S ribosomal RNA". It matches the Rfam family "Bacterial small subunit ribosomal RNA", at positions 338 to 795 of the family's 1533-position model. The record is from RNAcentral.